Gastrolobium bilobum is the source of this 2253-nucleotide RNA transcript. It is a transcript of the gene named homeobox-DDT domain protein RLT1-like, with no coding region annotated. Lineage: Eukaryota; Viridiplantae; Streptophyta; Magnoliopsida; Fabales; Fabaceae. The record is from RefSeq and is a predicted model, not a curated record. The transcript has 8 exons.
UGUCUUUCCACCUUCACCAGAAGCUCCUUUAUCUGUUCCUAAGCGGAGUUAGGGGGUCAAAUUCUAAAUGCAAUAAUUUGUUAAUGUUAAUGUUGCAUUCUCUUUUGGUUUUGGCAUAAACGGGUCUCGCUUUUCUGAUAAGCCACUGAAAAUUUUUCACACCUUUGACCCUAAAACUUGAUUAGAAGAUUGGUAUUCACUAGAAUUCCUCAAAUCCAUGGAAGAAUCAAGUGAAUUGCAAUCAGAAGAAAAUAAAGUCUCUAUGGAGAAAAAUAAGAAAAGAAAGCUCAAAACACCUGCCCAGGUUACGGCCUUGGAGAAAUUUUAUAAUGAGCACAAGUAUCCCACAGAGGAAAUGAAAUCACAAGUUGCUGAGGAGAUAGGGUUGACAGAAAAGCAGAUAUCUGGAUGGUUUUGCCACAGAAGGUUAAAAGAUAAAAAAUUAUUGAAAGGUGAAGCAUUUGCUAAUGGACGACAAGAUCAUUCAAGUGGUGUCAUCCAGGAUCGUGGCAGUGGACUUGGGCAAGAUUCAUGUGGAAGCAGUAAACAUGGUGACUAUAGGCAUCUAGAUCCAAAAGAGGUUGAGAGUCAUGGCCUCUACAAUCAUGAUUUUUCAGUAGCCGAUAUGACCUAUGGACAUAGGAACCAUUAUACAGAAAAUGUCAGUGGAAUGGAUGAUACAUCAUCUGAGAGCAGCUCUUUUUUGCGAGAUCCACUUCGACAUGAUGUGGAGCCUUCUAGAUAUCUAACACCUAAUGGAGUUCUUUCACCUGUAAACUCCAAGGGUGCAAUUAACAUGGGAUAUAAACCAUCAGGAUAUUUGAAAGUGAAGGGCGAGAUAGAACAUGCUGCUAUAACUGCUGUUAAGAAGCAAUUAGGAAGGCAUUAUCAGGAAGAUGGUCCGCUACUUGCUGUAGAAUUUGAUCCACUUCCUCCAGGGGCAUUUGAAUGCCAAACUGCGGAUCCAGUUCAUGCAGAACCAUACUGUGUUGCAAAUCUUGUUCAUCCGAAUUCUCCAGAAAUCUCUGCUGUAAAAAGGAAACCCAGUCUUAGCUCUAGAGAUGAUUCACAUUAUACUAAAUUUAGUUCCCGAGAUUCACAUAUGGAAGGAGUUGACUUCGGCUCGUUGCAUGACACUGAUUUCCAGCGUAAACAGGAUAAGAAAGGCCGCCAGAAUAUUAAACAAAGGCAAAGUCUUUACAGUUAUACCGAUCAUUUUCCUGGCAGGAACUCUUCCCUGGAUUUGUAUGAAGACUCUACCGGAGAAGCAUCUGCUCAUAAUGGCACUAAGAAUCAUAGAAUGGGCACUAAGCAUGGUGUUGAGGGGAUGAGAUCUGAUUCUGCUUCUAACCACAGUGAUCACUAUGAAGAGAACCUUGCAGUUAAGCAGACAGAGUUGCUGCUACAUGGCUAUGAUAACAUCAAUCCAAGAAAUGUGCAAAGGAGUGAACAUGUAAAAUCUAAGCCUUUAAAUUCAAACCGUAAUUCUCGAGUUUCUGUGGAUACUGCAGAAAGAGGACUAUCUACUAGGAUGUCAAAGGAACAGAUGUUUAAGGGGGACAGGAAGGCAAAAAAGCAACAUCGCAACGCAGAUGGAUCAGGGAUGCUUUCAAAUGAAAUCACAGUGAGUUUUAGCUGUGCAAGCAUACCUCUUCCUCUGAAAUGUCACAAAACGAGUUAAAGUUGAUGAUAUGCCUCAGCCGUACAAUGUGAAACAAUCACCUGUUGCUGAGAUGGAACAAAGGAAAAAUCAGAGAUCUGCUGCAGAGAUGCCAUCUAGCUUUAGCGAGGAUGAAACUGCUGAAACCAGUUCCUCAAUGGAUUAAGUUUUGUUGAUAGAUGUGAAAAGUGUGCAGGAUUUCUCUAAGCCAUUGUCUAUGUAUAGUAAAAAGGGGGCGAACCGAGCAGUGGUAAAGCUGCUCCUUUGUGAGUAAAAGGUCACGGGUUCGAAUCCAAGAAACAGGAUAAGACUGCGUACAAGGAUUGUCCUCAUCCCACACUCGCUAGUCGAGUUUAAUUGGAGAGUGGUUUUUUAUUGUCUAUGUAUAGUCUAAAAAGGCAUACAUUUUCCCAGUAACAUGGGAAGCACUGUUUCUAGCUCAUAUGUAUGUCAUUUGUCUUAUUGGUUUAGUUAUGGCAGUGCUUUUGGCAUCCAAAUUUGGUCCAAUUUGAUGCUUGCUUGGAAGAGUCAACUAUUUCUACCUUGUGCUUUAGCAAUUAAGAAUAAUUAAUCCCAUUGGUUUUGUAUUGAUU